CCGCUAACCCGCAAGGGGGCGUGGUCCUAAAGGAGUGACUGGUAACUGGGGUG
This 53-nucleotide ribosomal RNA is filed under the name uncultured bacterium. RNAcentral's name for it is "partial 16S ribosomal RNA". The record is from RNAcentral.